CAGGACCAGCGCCACUUCCCACUAAUCCAUGUGCUUACAUGAAACUUCAAGAAGAAAUAAAAAACCACCAACCACACCCUAAGGCUUCCACAACAAAUAUUCUUAUUUCGGGCAGUGUGGGUUCCGGAAAGUCAAGCUUUAUAAAUUCUGUGUUCUCAGAACUCAGGAGAGAAGAAUUCAACGGCAGAAUACAAAACAUUCAAGGCGUGAGACCAGGUGCAGAAACAAGCGUCACACAACAUCUAAGAUGCCACACAUUCAAUGACAAGAUCAAAAUCUUUGAUACAGCAGGAUUUAAAUUAGGGAAAACAGUAAAUGCCUCGAUAAUAUUAAAGAAGAUCAUAGAUGGUGAAGUGGCUGAAGGCACAAAGUUUGACGAUAUUCUGAAAACAAAAAGCUCAAUGGAAGGAGACAAAAUCCACUGUGUUGUGUUGGUUAUAUCAAUUCAUACUGCUGACAAUAUGGACCCAGCCUUGAUUCAGUUUUAUGAAGAAUUAAUUGGAAUGCUCAGAGAGACUGGAGUACCAUGCCAGCUGCUAGUUACACUCGAUGAACUUGUCAGGAAGACUGAGGAUUUGAAAAAUCUGUACUGGAGAAG
Molecule: long non-coding RNA, 598 nt
Organism: Acipenser ruthenus (sterlet)
Lineage: Eukaryota; Metazoa; Chordata; Actinopteri; Acipenseriformes; Acipenseridae
Exons: 5
Source: RefSeq, a predicted model, not a curated record